This 194-nucleotide ribosomal RNA is filed under the name uncultured bacterium. RNAcentral describes it as "partial 16S ribosomal RNA". It matches the Rfam family "Bacterial small subunit ribosomal RNA", at positions 338 to 524 of the family's 1533-position model. The record is from RNAcentral.
CCUACGGGAGGCAGCAGUAGGGAAUCUUCCGCAAUGGACGAAAGUCUGACGGAGCAACGCCGCGUGAGUGAAGAAGGUUUUCGGAUCGUAAAACUCUGUUGUAAGGGAAGAACACGUACGAGAGGAAAUGCUCGUACCUUGACGGUACCUUACGAGAAAGCCACGGCUAACUACGUGCCAGCAGCCGCGGUAAU